RNAcentral lists this ribosomal RNA (253 nucleotides) under uncultured bacterium. Its description in RNAcentral is "partial 16S ribosomal RNA". It matches the Rfam family "Bacterial small subunit ribosomal RNA", at positions 524 to 776 of the family's 1533-position model. The record is from RNAcentral.
UACGUAGGAGGCGCGCGUUGUCCGGAAUUACUGGGUGUAAAGCGCGCGUAGGUGGGAGGCCACGUCUGUGGUGAAAUCGCCCGGCUCAACUGGGCGGGGUCCAUGGAAACUGGUCACCUGGAGGACGGUAGAGGCGAGUGGAAUUCCCGGUGUAGUGGUGAAAUGCGUAGAGAUCGGGAGGAACACCAGUGGCGAAGGCGGCUCGCUGGGCCGGUCCUGACACUGAGGCGCGAAGGCGUGGGGAGCGAACGGA